GUACUGAUGAAGAGUUCCAAGCUAGGACGAAACAGCUGUCCAGUAC
Non-coding RNA from Trichobilharzia regenti, 46 nucleotides. The record is from Rfam. Lineage: Eukaryota; Metazoa; Platyhelminthes; Trematoda; Strigeidida; Schistosomatidae.